AUUGAACGCUGGCGGCAGGCCUAACACAUGCAAGUCGAACGGCUGAAGAGUGCUUGCUCGUGGAUUCGGCUGCGGACGGGUGAGUAAUGCCUAGAAAUCUGCCUGGCAAUGGGGGAUAGCGUGCGGAAGCGGGCGCUAAUACGGCAUACGUCCUGAGGAAGAAAGGGGGGAAGCUUCGGACCUCACGCUAUCAGAUGAGCCUAUGUCGGAUUAGCUAGUUGGUGGGGUAAAGGCCUACCAAGGCGACGAUCCGUAACUGGUCUGAGAGGAUGAUCAGUCACACUGGAACUGAGACACGGUCCAGACUCCUACGGGAGGCAGCAGUGGGGAAUAUUGGACAAUGGGCGAAAGCCUGAUCCAGCCAUGCCGCGUGUGUGAAGAAGGUCUUCGGAUUGUAAAGCACUUUAAGUUGGGAGGAAGGGCAGUAAGUUAAUACCUUGCUGUUUUGACGUUACCAACAGAAUAAGCACCGGCUAACUUCGUG
Molecule: ribosomal RNA, 484 nt
Filed under: uncultured bacterium
Lineage: Bacteria
Description: partial 16S ribosomal RNA
Rfam family: Bacterial small subunit ribosomal RNA
Source: RNAcentral